This 347-nucleotide ribosomal RNA is filed under the name uncultured bacterium. RNAcentral describes it as "partial 16S ribosomal RNA". It matches the Rfam family "Bacterial small subunit ribosomal RNA", at positions 338 to 682 of the family's 1533-position model. The record is from RNAcentral.
CCUACGGGGGGCAGCAGUGAGGAAUAUUGGUCAAUGGGCGCGAGCCUGAACCAGCCAAGUAGCGUGAAGGAUGACUGCCCUACGGGUUGUAAACUUCUUUUAUAAAGGAAUAAAGUGAGGCACGUGUGCCUUUUUGUAUGUACUUUAUGAAUAAGGAUCGGCUAACUCCGUGCCAGCAGCCGCGGUAAUACGGAGGAUCCGAGCGUUAUCCGGAUUUAUUGGGUUUACAGGGCGUGUAGCCGGGCUGACAAGUCAGAUGUGAAAUUCCGGGGCUCACCCCCGGACCUGCAUUUGAAACUGUUGGUCUUGAGUAUCGGAGAGGCAGGCGGAAUUCCUCGUGUAGCGGU